ACCCUGGUGGUCCAGUAGUUAGGACUCAGCGCUUUCACUGCUGUGGCCUGGAUUCAAGCCCUAAUCGGGGAA
Molecule: transfer RNA, 72 nt
Organism: Ovis aries (sheep)
Lineage: Eukaryota; Metazoa; Chordata; Mammalia; Artiodactyla; Bovidae
Rfam family: tRNA
About the family: Transfer RNA (tRNA) molecules are approximately 80 nucleotides in length. Their secondary structure includes four short double-helical elements and three loops (D, anti-codon, and T loops). Further hydrogen bonds mediate the characteristic L-shaped molecular structure. tRNAs have two regions of fundamental functional importance: the anti-codon, which is responsible for specific mRNA codon recognition, and the 3' end, to which the tRNAs corresponding amino acid is attached (by aminoacyl-tRNA synthetases). tRNAs cope with the degeneracy of the genetic code in two manners: having more than one tRNA (with a specific anti-codon) for a particular amino acid; and 'wobble' base-pairing, i.e. permitting non-standard base-pairing at the 3rd anti-codon position.
Source: Rfam